RNAcentral lists this ribosomal RNA (497 nucleotides) under uncultured bacterium. RNAcentral describes it as "partial 16S ribosomal RNA". It matches the Rfam family "Bacterial small subunit ribosomal RNA", at positions 28 to 507 of the family's 1533-position model. The record is from RNAcentral.
GAUGAACGCUGGCGGCGUGCCUAAUACAUGCAAGUCGAGCGAACAGACGAGGAGCUUGCUCCUCUGACGUUAGCGGCGGACGGGUGAGUAACACGUGGAUAACCUACCUAUAAGACUGGGAUAACUUCGGGAAACCGGAGCUAAUACCGGAUAAUAUAUUGAACCGCAUGGUUCAAUAGUGAAAGACGGUUUUGCUGUCACUUAUAGAUGGAUCCGCGCCGCAUUAGCUAGUUGGUAAGGUAACGGCUUACCAAGGCAACGAUGCGUAGCCGACCUGAGAGAGUGAUCGGCCACACUGGAGCUGGGACACGGUCCAGGCUCCUACGGGAGGCAGCAGUAGGGUAUCUUCCGCAAUGGGCGAAAGCCUUACGGAGCAACGUCGCGUGAGUGAUGAAGGUCUUCGGAUCGUAAAACUCUGUUAUUAGUGAAGAACAAAUGUGUAAGUAACUAUGCACGUCUUGACGGUACCUAAUCAGAAAGCCACGGCUAACUACGUG